UCGGGGCGGGCCAAUGACUUCAAGAGCACGGUCAGUAUUUCUUAUCACAGUAUUAAAUGGUUGAGGAAAAUAUAAUAUGUAUAAUGACUUGUGACUAAUAAUAGACGACGGUGUCACACGGAAGCUGCGCAAUGGACAAUCAUGAAGACCUCGUGCAAACUACAGCAAUCAUCAGACGAACAAAGCGACAUUGACACGGCUAUUUGCAUGAGUAGGCCUGCUUUGUAGAUGGGCAUAGAUGAUCGAUUUCAUUUCUGCAAUCUAAAAGACGUGUAGAAGGCGUCAACGUCUUCAUGUGCAAGUAGUCCAUUUUCAUCUCUGUCCGAGUGCAGCCUCACAUUCUGUGUGGAUGGUGAUCCGGACUUCAUUAAUGUCGACGAAAGGCGUCUCCAAAAUACAGUGGCCACGUUUUAGAAGAGAGGCUACAGCUCACAGUGGCGAAGUCAGAGUCGCGUCAGAAUGACCUCAUCACAGCUUUUACCGCGAAUUUUAGGACAGGAUUUUACAGAUUGUCUUGGUUUGUACAUAUACUUUUCCCCAAAAGUGCGUGAUUUUCGAAAGGAACAGAUGAUUAUAGAAAUACAAAGAGGUACCGAGUGGAAGUUAUGAAUUGAUAAAAUCAUGUCAUUGAAGCAGACAGAAAGUAGUUCCGAUAAUAGUGUUAUUCAUACGAGUUUAACAACACUAUAUUUCAUUCGAAAGAGAUAAAUGUGUUAUUUUUGUAAGGUAAAUACAGUGUUUCAUCACAAAAUAAAUAAUAAAAAUGAAAAUUGUAUCAGUGAGACGACAUGAAUUAUGUGAGGUUGAUUGGUUGUAAAGGCUAAAUGGACAGAAUAGUUUAUAAUGUAGUAAAAACAUUAAAUACACCCUGACAUGAUUUUAGUAGAAAGCUAUUUGUAUUUUUAUAUAUCAAGUUAUAUAGAUUAUGUCAAGCGUCAUUGGUACAUGACGACCGCCUCCGUGGUCUAAUGGUAGAGCGUCCGCCCGGAGAGCGGAAGGUCCGGGGUUCGAUCCCCGACCGC
This 1022-nucleotide long non-coding RNA is filed under the name Haliotis rufescens (red abalone). RNAcentral describes it as "uncharacterized LOC124127398, transcript variant X2". The record is from RNAcentral. Lineage: Eukaryota; Metazoa; Mollusca; Gastropoda; Lepetellida; Haliotidae.